This 468-nucleotide ribosomal RNA is filed under the name uncultured bacterium. RNAcentral describes it as "partial 16S ribosomal RNA". It matches the Rfam family "Bacterial small subunit ribosomal RNA", at positions 28 to 507 of the family's 1533-position model. The record is from RNAcentral.
GACGAACGCUGGCGGCGUGCUUAACACAUGCAAGUCGAACGGAAAGGCCCUGCUUUUGUGGGGUGCUCGAGUGGCGAACGGGUGAGUAACACGUGAGUAACCUGCCCUUGACUUUGGGAUAACUUCAGGAAACUGGGGCUAAUACCGGAUAGGAGCUCCUGCUGCCUGGUGGGGGUUGGAAAGUUUCGGCGGUUGGGGAUGGACUCGCGGCUUAUCAGCUUGUUGGUGGGGUAGUGGCUUACCAAGGCUUUGACGGGUAGCCGGCCUGAGAGGGUGACCGGCCACAUUGGGACUGAGAUACGGCCCAGACUCCUACGGGAGGCAGCAGUGGGGAAUAUUGCACAAUGGGCGGAAGCCGGAUGCAGCAACGCCGCGUGCGGGAUGACGGCCUUCGGGUUGUAAACCGCUUUCGCCUGUGACGAAGCGUGAGUGACGGUAAUGGGUAAAGAAGCACCGGCUAACUACGUG